This 3514-nucleotide ribosomal RNA is filed under the name Triticum aestivum (bread wheat). RNAcentral describes it as "partial small subunit ribosomal RNA". The record is from RNAcentral. Lineage: Eukaryota; Viridiplantae; Streptophyta; Magnoliopsida; Poales; Poaceae.
GAGAACAAAAGCGAAACCAAAACAGCCGAGCUGAUUGGAAACAUCCAGAUGCCGCUGCCGCUGCUAGUACUAACCCAACCCAACCCAGCGUUUCCCCUCUAGAAAAUAUCAUCAUUUCUGGCGCCUAAUCAAGGACCCCUGGUUAGUUGCUUGCGGAAUUAUAUACCCACCAUUGGAGCAGCAAGCGAUAGAGGGGAGCGAAGAAGAGCAGCCAGAGGAGAACGCAAGAGAGGAGAAGGUCCGGCGGAGGUGGACGUCGAGAGCCCGGCGGAAAUCGGCCGGCGCGAUUGAGGUGCGGAUUCUCCUCGGGCGGGCUGGUUCCGGGUGGUCGGAUCGAGGCGGCCCUCAAUCUCGGAGGACCUCGAUUCGAUUCGGCGGCACGGGCCGUGCCGCUGUUGAUUAAUCCAUUUGGCUCCAUGGAUGGAUAGGCAGGGCUGUGACGUGAUCUCCUUGCAUGGUUCAUCCUUGGCUAGGUCCCUGGUUGCUUGCUCAGGCUCCAAGUUUUGUGUCAUCUCCAGUUGUGGUAGCCAGUGGGGCAUGAUUAGUAGUGGCAAGAUGGUAACCUUGCUUCCAAUGGGUCUGAAUCGGAAAUGCCAGUGUGGUUCUGCCCUUCCGGUGGUGAUUGGUUUCAAUUGGUGAUUUGUCUAGUCCAUCGAUUUGGACACUGAAAUGGCAAGAUACUGAGAGGGCCGUUGAAAGGAACUGGAUAGGUGUACUGCAGGAGCGAUUACAGAUUGGGGGUCUUCCUUCUCGCUGAGUAUCAGAGAUUGGUUGCGAUGGGUUUACCCCAAGUUUCUUCAGUCAGGGAGGAUGUUUCUACAGGAUCGAGGACACCUGUGUCAAGCCCCUCUCGUACCAAUGGUGUUGGUGCCUGCGAUUUGGAUGGGCUUCCUCGAGAAAGCUCAAAUGGCAAGGCUUCAUAUCGAUCGAUUGGCAAUUUCAGUAGACAGACUGCAUCAGAUUCCCCGGAUGAAUCAAACAGAUAUUUUAGAGACAGCCAUGCGUUUGAUGGACUCACCGACUUCCAAGGAUUAAGAAUUGAUGAUUUUAGAGAUGCAAAUUCUAGAUCUUCUCAUAAAUUGCAGCCUGCUGUCCGUAGGCCCAUAACGAGGGUUGUGGGCUUUGAAUCAAACUGUAUUGGAGGUCCUGAUACAGCAGAACUGGAUACAAUCUGUCCAUCUGUGGCCAGUCAUAAUUUUGGUUCACCAUGUGAUCAGGAUGAACUUCAGGCAAGGAAAGGACUGCUGUCUCCAUUGAAAAAUGUGCUCUCUAGAAAGUUCCAUGGUAAUUUACUGAAUAUUGCUUCUGGUGAUGCUAGAUUUCAGCAUUCCGAGCCAAGUAAGAAACUCUACAGUUCUGGCUUACAAGAUAAUAAAAUGGUAAACACUGGAAGCCUCAGUUCUUUUGAGUCACAGGCAUGUCCGACCCCUAGAUGGUCCAAUUGGACUUCAGAAUUUGAUGUCAAUAGGAUUAAUUCUAUUCACUUCACUGAUGGCCCUUUACUUGGGAACAAGGAGUCGUUAUCCUAUUAUGAUCAUCUAGCUGCCAGUGCAAAAUUAGCACACUCUCCGCUCUCACUGUCUCCUCUCAGCCCUAGACGUAUUCAUAAAGUCAAGACUACAGAAUCUCCAAGGCAUGUAAUGAAAGAUAUUGAAAAUGAUUUCGUAGAUUUGAAGGAACAGGGAGGAUUUGAUGGAAUUGGGAUGCUAGAUGUGUUAGAGGAAACUAACAGAUUACAUGAUGAAUAUGAUACUAUGACCCCUAAAGGAAGUUCAUGUAGAAGAUAUCAAAACUGGGGUUCUGAAUCUUCACCUACGUUUCCGCGAGUUGGUUAUGGACGGAGUUUGAGUCUCCCUGCAAGGAGGUCACUAGUUGUCUCCUUUGAGGAAUCCCUUUUGUCUGGUCGACUUUCUUAUGGAAAAGAUAAUCAGACAAUUGAUGGUUUCUUAGCUGUCCUGAAUAUUGUUGGCGGUAGCUUCUCUCCCCCAACUCAGAAACUUCCAUUUGCAGUCGCAAGCAUCGACGAGGAUAGCUCCUUGUUGUAUUAUUCUUCUAUUGAUCUUGCUGGUAGAUUGUCCACAAGUGCAACCAACAGCAAUAGCCCAAAACUCCAAAGAAGCCUUAGUAACAAUAAUUCAAGAUCAGCAAAGAGUCGCUUACGCAUCCCUGCUAAGGGGCGCAUACAACUGGUUGUGAGCAACCCUGAGAAGACCCCACUCCAUACAUUCUUCUGCAACUACGACUUAACUGACAUGCCGUCUGGAACCAAGGUACACAAUAUUAUGACAAGUUGACUGCUUAUCCUUCAUAUAUUGAAGAAAACCAAAGAUUAUUCUGAUAUUGCGCCAAAACACAAAUGUGCUUUAUAUCUAGUCCUUCCUUGCUUGCAAGUUGCAAUUUCCAAGCUAUAACUUUUGCCCUUAGCUUUAGCCUUACACCUAAUCAUGCGCAUAGUGUGUCCUCAUAUACUCACUAUAUCUAUAACUAACCGGGUUGCCUAAGGAAGCGAGGAAGAUUGAAAGAGAGAGGAAUACGGCAGCCGUGCUAGAUUACAUGGAGACUUUUUCUGUUUAGCAAGUGUUCCACCUGGUUUUGACCAUGUUAUCUGUAUGGACAACGUCCUGAGUAAUCUCUCUCUCUUCCUGUUCCCCUACAAAAAACUAAGCGGGUUGCCUAAGUUUGAGAUCAGGACACAGAACAGACGUUCAUGCGGCAAAAGGUCACUCUGUCUCCCACUGUUUCUCCCUCUAAUAUAGUGAAAGAAGAAAGCAAGACCAGUGACACAAAUGUUGGCCCGAAAGCUCAGUGUGUCUCAUGUGGAAGUGAACUUGCACAAGGAGGAACUCUAUGCUUGGAAUACUGCGGGCAGGGGCGGACGUGCAACUCAACUGAUGAAUCAGAAAAGAGACACGCAAACACAAAAUGUUACUCAUCGGGCACUGACAUGAAGGAAUCAGAUAAACCCAAUUCUAUUGGGAAUAAGCAAAAUAAUACUGAUUCUGAUGAUUGUUGCUGUCAGAUGGACAACGUGCACUCAGGUGCGAAGAAAUCAUGUUGUGCGUCUUCCAGGAUCAACGACAGUUCAGGUGGAGGCGUGCUCCGCUAUGCUUUGCACCUGCGGUUUCUCUGCUCCGCCUCCAAGAAAUCCUCAAAAUCUAUGCUACGUUGCAAAUCCGAUCCAUCAUCUGUACCGCACAGCGGCAAUACGGUGACUGAGGAUAGGAGAUUCUAUCUCUACAACGAUCUUAGAGUUGUAUUUCCUCAGAGGCACUCGGAUGCAGAUGAGGGCGAGCUGAAGGUGGAACAUGAUUUCCCUGCUGAUCCCAAGUACUUCGACAUAAGCAACUGAAAAAUUGCUUUCGCUGUCAUGUAUAGCCUGUGCUGCGGCACUGAUAAAACGAAAACUCUGUACAUAUUUAUUCCACUAAUUUGCCACCAGUCCCCAAAAUGUACAGGUUUAUCUUCCAAUAAAAUGCCUCAUUUUAGUUGUCACUUUCUGUAUUUCUGCUUCUGC